GAAGUUGGAGUCGCUAGUAAUCGCAGAUCAGCAACGCUGCGGUGAAUACGUUCCCGGGCCUUGUACACACCGCCCGUCACGUCAUGAAAGUCGGUAACACCCGAAGCCGGUGGCCUAACCCCUUGUGGGAGGGAGCCGUCGAAGGUGGGAUCGGCGAUUGGGACGAAGUCGUAACAAGGUAGCCGUACCGGAAGGUGCGGCUGGAUUACCUCCUUU
Molecule: ribosomal RNA, 216 nt
Filed under: Nocardia veterana
Lineage: Bacteria; Bacillati; Actinomycetota; Actinomycetes; Mycobacteriales; Nocardiaceae
Description: partial 16S ribosomal RNA
Rfam family: Bacterial small subunit ribosomal RNA
Source: RNAcentral